This 404-nucleotide ribosomal RNA is filed under the name uncultured prokaryote. RNAcentral describes it as "bacterial SSU rRNA". It matches the Rfam family "Bacterial small subunit ribosomal RNA", at positions 355 to 776 of the family's 1533-position model. RNAcentral also lists the same sequence under 1 other name. The record is from RNAcentral.
UGGGGAAUAUUGGGCAAUGGGCGAAAGCCUGACCCAGCAACGCCGCGUGAAGGAAGAAGGUUUUCGGAUUGUAAACUUCUUUGAUGAGGGACGAUAAUGACGGUACCUCAAAAACAAGCCACGGCUAACUACGUGCCAGCAGCCGCGGUAAUACGUAGGUGGCAAGCGUUGUCCGGAUUUACUGGGUGUAAAGGGCGUGUAGGCGGGGAUGCAAGUCAGAUGUGAAAUUCCGGGGCUCAACCCCGGCGCUGCAUCUGAAACUGCGUUUCUUGAGUGUCGGAGGGGAAAGUGGAAUUCCUAGUGUAGCGGUGAAAUGCGUAGAUAUUAGGAGGAACACCGGUGGCGAAGGCGACUUUCUGGACGAUAACUGACGCUGAUACGCGAAAGCGUGGGGAGCAAACAGG